AACUGUGCUAAGGCCUUGAUUUUCUUGCGCCAUCACCUUGAUGAAGGUUUGAAAAUUGAAUAUAUCACAGUCAAAGAUCCACAUAUCUUGUGGAAUGGUUUUCUUGUUAUAUGUGCGCUACAAGGUAGGUAUUGUUUAUUAAUAUAAAUUUCACAUGUUGUUACACUAUUAUAACUAUAUAUGUUUCAUUCUAUAACGCUUGUGGUAUAAAAUUGUGAA
RNAcentral lists this long non-coding RNA (219 nucleotides) under Nicotiana benthamiana. RNAcentral's name for it is "long non-coding RNA (NBEN_LNC035839)". The record is from RNAcentral. Lineage: Eukaryota; Viridiplantae; Streptophyta; Magnoliopsida; Solanales; Solanaceae.